CAAAACUGAGGUGCCGAAGGAUGGGCUCGCGUUGGAUUAGAUAGUUGGUGGGGUAACGGCCUACCAAGUCGACGAUCCAUAGCCGGACUGAGAGGUUGAACGGCCACAUUGGGACUGAGACACGGCCCAGACUCCUACGGGAGGCAGCAGUGGGGAAUAUUGCACAAUGGGGGAAACCCUGAUGCAGCAACGCCGCGUGAAGGAAGACGGUUUUCGGAUUGUAAACUUCUGUUCUUAGUGAAGAAUAAUGACGGUAGCUAAGGAGCAAGCCACGGCUAACUACGUGCCAGCAGCCGCGGUAAUACGUAGGUGGCAAGCGUUGUCCGGAAUUACUGGGUGUAAAGGGAGCGCAGGCGGGAAGCCAAGUCAGCUGUGAAAACUAUGGGCUUAACUUGUAGACUGCAGUUGAAACUGGUUUUCUUGAGUGAAGUAGAGGUUGGCGGAAUUCCGAGUGUAGCGGUGAAAUGCGUAGAUAUUCGGAGGAACACCGGUGGCGAAGGCGGCCAACUGGGCUUUAACUGACGCUGAGGCUCGAAAGUGUGGGGAGCAAACAGGAUUAGAUACCCUGGUAGUCCACACUGUAAACGAUGAUAACUAGGUGUGGGGGGUCUGACCCCUUCC
This 621-nucleotide ribosomal RNA is filed under the name uncultured bacterium. Its description in RNAcentral is "bacterial SSU rRNA". It matches the Rfam family "Bacterial small subunit ribosomal RNA", at positions 202 to 842 of the family's 1533-position model. The record is from RNAcentral.